This is a long non-coding RNA of Carya illinoinensis, 1001 nucleotides long. RefSeq lists it as uncharacterized. The transcript has 2 exons. The record is from RefSeq and is a predicted model, not a curated record. Lineage: Eukaryota; Viridiplantae; Streptophyta; Magnoliopsida; Fagales; Juglandaceae.
UAUAACUUUUUUUUUAUUCAUGUAGGUCCCCCUGAAUAUAAAAUAAUUUUUUUAUAAUUUUUUUUAUUCAUUCCGUACAGCUGACUGCACGCCGACUGCAUUUGCCGACUGUAUCUAACAAAGCCCUUCUCCAAAAUAUCGAAGAAAGUUUGGGGAAAAACUUCUUCUUUCUUCCCUCCCAACUGGUUCCCUAAAUUAAGGAUUUCAUUUUGGGUUUUCUACGGUGGUUGUCCAAAUAUGAGGAGCCAGUAUACAUUCCUAACUCUUUUGUUUAUCCUUUUCUCACUCUGUUAUCCCAUGUGAUACUCUUGUCCCAAACCCUGGAUGGUAUCGGUCCUCUCUCACAUUGUUUGUGUCCAUUGAAGGCAACCCCUCUAUAGCUCUUUGAUAGGUAAGUUUCUGCCCUUCUCACUGACAGACUAGCCUCACACACGUUCAAACUCUCUCAUUGGUUUCAUUUGAGAGAAAUCCUAGUUUCGAAUCCAUAUACUCAGUGUAUAUUCAUGUGUUCCGUUGGUUCUUUGUGAGCUGGAAAUCGAAAUUGAAACCCCAUCGAUAACUGAUUGUACAUUGAUAUCUCACAUGUCUUUGUCUGAGCUUCUCUGUGGUUUCACCAAGUGAGAUUUUGUUAGAGAUUUGGAAAGCAAUUUAAAGAAAAUCAGUUCAGGGGCUCUUUGUUUUGCUACCUCGUUCAUCCUAACUGAUGGUUGGAUUUGUUUGUUGGCAAUUAUACUAUAUAGCCUUUAGCUAUGAUGAAGGCAAAUGAGUGUGGAUAAAGAAAAAUUGGCACAUACUCAAUGGCAGGGUAACCCGAAUGGCCAAUGAAUACUGGCAACCGAUGUUGCAGCCAUUGAAGAAAUUGCCACUUCCUAUAUGUCAUCAUUCAUUUUCUGAGUUGGUUUGCAAUAUCUGUCUCAAUUGCUUUUGAGCUUCUAACAUGUUUAGUUGAACUGUUCAUGAUCUAUAAUUAGUAUAACCUGAUGGAUUCAUAAGGCCAUAGA